CUCCGCGCGGUGGCGUCUCCGUGCUGUGUGCGCGUUUUCCGGAUGGCGAGAGGAGAAGCAGCCGUGCGGCGUGCCACCGCUGGUGCUGCUGCUGCUGUGGCUGCGUGGAGUGCUAUGAUGAAAAACGUUUCCUUAACGACGAGCGGACCGACACGCACCCAUGCGGACAGUUCGAAUGUGUACAAAUGUUGAGCCUCCCGCCUCCCGCGCCCGUGUCAUCGCCGCUGCACCGUGCGCCUGCAUGCGUGCGCGUGUGCGGCGGGGGACACUGGACAACGACGUCUCUGUCUAACGGGGUGCGACGCUGCUCUGUCGGCGCACCUCGAUUUCAGGAGAUGGAGAUGACGCGGCUGCGGCGGUGGUGCGCGCUGUGCUCGCUGUCACCGCACCUGUCUCCCCCGCCCUCAAGUGCGCGAGGAGAACCGUAGCCGCUGCAACUCCGCUAGGUGAGAUGCCGCGGGUGAUACUUCUCCAAGAGCUCUGUCGCCACCGCCGCGCAUCCACGUCGCUGGGGCGUGUGCGCCUCUGUGCCUGUGUAUGUGUAUGCAUAUGCAUGUGUGUGUGUGCUUGUGUUUGUGUGCCAGCUGCGCUGCCGCGCAGGAUGAGAGACAUUCAACGGAUCCCAAUCAGAGCACUGUGCACUGAAACCCCGUCCUGAUGCUAAUCCGCAAAACAACGGCUGACGCGGCGACGCAGCCGGCCACGGGCACGUGCUGUGAUGUGCCGCGUGACGGAUGGAUGGCAUGGAAAGCAGCGACGGAGCAGUUCUUAGAAUGUUGCAGUCGUAGCAUUUCUCACACCGAGACAGAUGCAGGGAGGUGGUGGCGUGGCUCACAAACGACAUGACGGGAGACUGCCUGCAGAGGCGGCUGCCGGCUCUUGACGCACACAGUUGUCACAGCGCUCUCCAAAGAUGGCGCCUGCGCGCAUGUCGUGGAGUGUAAAGGACCACCCUUUCUGUGAAACAAGCGGGCGCACACGAGAGACAGACGUACCUGGGCUUUCCGUAUUGGCUUUUUUUCUGCUGCUUUAUUCGGGCAUCGGUGUGGACGUAAUCGGCGGUCCUGCUGCAGGGAGGCCGGGGUGCAUCCAGCGGCAUGCGGACGGCUGUGGCAUGCAUCGUUCUGAGGCGUUCGGAGCCACGUGCCAGUCUCGAGACGCAGAAGCUGACCGAAGAAGAAGAGGGAAAGCGAUGCAUCGUGGCGAUCACCUGCUUGUUUCGUACGUUGGUCUUUUCCUCCAACCGUCUUCCAUCCACCACUUCCUUCUCUGCGCCGUCCCCCAGCCCCCCUUUUUCAGUGCAUGUGGCUCCUCCUUCACCGAUCACCUGCACCCCACCUCCCCUUCUUCUUCUAGCGGAUUCGGCCGACUGUGGUGAGCAG
RNAcentral lists this unclassified non-coding RNA (1382 nucleotides) under Leishmania donovani. RNAcentral describes it as "gene:unknown". The stretch from base 279 to 345 matches the Rfam family "Trypanosomatid snoRNA TB10Cs4H2". The record is from RNAcentral. Lineage: Eukaryota; Euglenozoa; Kinetoplastea; Trypanosomatida; Trypanosomatidae.